This 219-nucleotide ribosomal RNA is filed under the name Chloropicon mariensis. Its description in RNAcentral is "partial Eukaryotic large subunit ribosomal RNA". It matches the Rfam family "Eukaryotic large subunit ribosomal RNA", at positions 1 to 231 of the family's 3401-position model. Lineage: Eukaryota; Viridiplantae; Chlorophyta; Chloropicophyceae; Chloropicales; Chloropicaceae. The record is from RNAcentral.
GACCUCAGAUCAGGCAAGAUUACCUGCUGAACUUAAGCAUAUCACUAAGCAGAGGAAAAGAAACUAACCAGGAUUCCCUUAGUAACGGCGAGUGAACCGGGAAAAGCCCAACUGAAAAUCCUUCGGGAAUUGUAGUCUACAGAAGCAAUCUCUGUGUCGUCCACGGCCCAAGUUCCCUGGAAAGGGACGCCGGAGAGGGUGAGAGCCCCGUUGUGCCCG